AGUGGCGGCGCAGUAUUCUAGUCAGAUCCGCCGUUUCCUAGGGAGGGCCUAAAAAUCCUCUGAAGGGCAUAUCGAUGAAACCUCUGGUGCCUGCUUGAUACGCCCAGUUUUGGGUGGGUGCUGGGGGGAAGCGCGGUUUUUUCGCGCUUGCGGACUCAGGGCGAUGAGCAAUGGCAUGGUCAACCCGACCCUGUUUCCGUGGAGACCUGUUCUUGUGCACAGACGUACUCCCGCGUGGUAUUUCGGCCUGUGUACGAAACAGAUUGUGAACCUGCAAUGCGGUGCAUCGCUCCCGUUCGGGGGCGUAACGCUGUGUGCAGACGUAGCCUGCCUUGCGUGGGUGUGGUGGAUGAGAGGUCAGGCCGCUGAGCCUCCGGCCGGAGCAACAGGCGGCCCUCUGCUCUUUGAAACCAGAUCUGCAAAAGAGGCUAAAGAAAUGGACGGACUGGGGUGGAAAACACCUAGGCUGUCUGAUUCCAUGGGCAGAAAAGGGAUUGCAGUGCGGACUAAGUGGCAGUCGGGUCGUGCAGACGGCAACGCUGUGCCGCGGUGUUGAAAGGGGAACCGCCUCCAUCGGCAACGGGAGGUACACCGCGGGGAAAUCCAACCCGUACCUAAGCCGUAAGAUUUACCUUUUCUGCCGCCGCC
Molecule: small RNA, 648 nt
Filed under: uncultured Dysosmobacter sp.
Lineage: Bacteria; Bacillati; Bacillota; Clostridia; Eubacteriales; Oscillospiraceae
Source: RNAcentral